This 491-nucleotide long non-coding RNA is filed under the name Physcomitrium patens. RNAcentral describes it as "long non-coding RNA (PPAT_LNC003958)". Lineage: Eukaryota; Viridiplantae; Streptophyta; Bryopsida; Funariales; Funariaceae. The record is from RNAcentral.
ACAUCCCGCAAAUAAACCUCGCACAUGUAAAUCUAAGCAGUCAGGAUGACAGCACCGCCGGCCACUUUGAUCUUCUUCUCCGCAAGCUUGGAGAAAAACUUGGCCUUCACAACCAUAGGCUGAGACGGUAAGUCACCCUUGCCAAGCACCUUGAAGAACCCGUGCUGGGUAACGUCCAAGAGAGGUGCGCUCAUGUCUCCAUCAGCCUUCUCCUUCACGGCCUCAGGCACCAACGACCAUAACUUAUCGAUGUUCACGAUGGGACAGUGGAACUUGUUCAUCGUCUUGUGGAAGUACCGCAUACCGACCUUGCCGAAGUAUCCUGGAUGGUACUUAUCGAACAGGAUCCGGUGGUGGUGCAUACCUCCAGCAUUACCUCGACCUCCAGGAUGCUUGCGGUGCUUGCCAACACGCCCAUGACCAGCGCUCACAUGUCCCCUUUUCUUCCUGUUCUUCUUCAGACGGGUCGUCAUGCUGCCGUUCCUCUAGCG